GCAAGUAGAACGCUGAAGAGAGGAGCUUGCUCUUCUUGGAUGAGUUGCGAACGGGUGAGUAACGUGUAGGUAACCUGCCUUGUAGCGGGGGAUAACUUUUGGAAACGAUAGCUAAUACCGCAUAACAAUGGAUGACACAUGUCAUUUAUUUGAAAGGGGCAAUUGCUCCACUACAAGAUGGACCUGCGUUGUAUUAGCUAGUAGGUGAGGUAACGGCUCACCUAGGCGACGAUACAUAGCCGACCUGAGAGGGUGAUCGGCCACACUGGGAUUGAGACACGGCCCAGACUCCUACGGGAGGCAGCAGUAGGGAAUCUUCGGCAAUGGGGGCAACCCUGACCGAGCAACGCCGCGUGAGUGAAGAAGGUUUUCGGAUCGUAAAGCUCUGUUGUAAGUCAAGAACGAGUGUGAGAGUGGAAAGUUCACACUGUGACGGUAGCUUACCAGAAAGGGACGGCUAACUACGUGCCAGCAGCCGCGGUAAUACGUAGGUCCCGAGCGUUGUCCGGAUUUAUUGGGCGUAAAGCGAGCGCAGGCGGUUUGAUAAGUCUGAAGUUAAAGGCUGUGGCUCAACCAUAGUUCGCUUUGGAAACUGUCAAACUUGAGUGCAGAAGGGGAGAGUGGAAUUCCAUGUGUAGCGGUGAAAUGCGUAGAUAUAUGGAGGAACACCGGUGGCGAAAGCGGCUCUCUGGUCUGUAACUGACGCUGAGGCUCGAAAGCGUGGGGAGCGAACAGGAUUAGAUACCCUGGUAGUCCACGCCGUAAACGAUGAGUGCUAGGUGUUGGAUCCUUUCCGGGAUUCAGUGCCGCAGCUAACGCAUUAAGCACUCCGCCUGGGGAGUACGACCGCAAGGUUGAAACUCAAAGGAAUUGACGGGGGCCCGCACAAGCGG
This 893-nucleotide ribosomal RNA is filed under the name uncultured bacterium. Its description in RNAcentral is "bacterial SSU rRNA". It matches the Rfam family "Bacterial small subunit ribosomal RNA", at positions 57 to 932 of the family's 1533-position model. The record is from RNAcentral.